RNAcentral lists this ribosomal RNA (1227 nucleotides) under metagenome. RNAcentral describes it as "bacterial SSU rRNA". It matches the Rfam family "Bacterial small subunit ribosomal RNA", at positions 267 to 1520 of the family's 1533-position model. The record is from RNAcentral.
ACCAAGCCAAUGACGCCUAGCUGGUCUGAGAGGAUGAUCAGCCACACUGGAACUGAGACACGGUCCAGACUCCUACGGGAGGCAGCAGUGGGGAAUAUUGCACAAUGGAGGAAACUCUGAUGCAGCAACGCCGCGUGGAGGAUGACGCAUUUCGGUGUGUAAACUCCUUUUAUAUGGGAAGAUAAUGACGGUACCAUAUGAAUAAGCACCGGCUAACUCCGUGCCAGCAGCCGCGGUAAUACGGAGGGUGCAAGCGUUACUCGGAAUCACUGGGCGUAAAGCGCGCGCAGGCGGCCUUUUAAGUUGGAUGUGAAAGCCUACGGCUCAACCGUAGAACUGCAUCCAAAACUAUUGGGCUAGAGUGUGGGAGAGGAAGAUGGAAUUAGUUGUGUAGGGGUAAAAUCCGUAGAGAUAACUAGGAAUACCAAAAGCGAAGGCAAUCUUCUGGAACAUUACUGACGCUGAGGCGCGAAAGCGUGGGGAGCAAACAGGAUUAGAUACCCUGGUAGUCCACGCCCUAAACGAUGAAUGUUAGUCGUCGGGUAGCUAGUCUAUUCGGUGAUGCAGCAAACGCAUUAAACAUUCCGCCUGGGGAGUACGGUCGCAAGAUUAAAACUCAAAGGAAUAGACGGGGACCCGCACAAGUGGUGGAGCAUGUGGUUUAAUUCGAAUACGCGAAGAACCUUACCUAGCCUUGACAUAUAUUAGAACACCCUAGAGAUAGAGUGGUGCCUUCGGGAGCUUUUAUACAGGUGCUGCACGGCUGUCGUCAGCUCGUGUCGUGAGAUGUUGGGUUAAGUCCCGCAACGAGCGCAACCCUCGUCACUAGUUACUAACGGUUCGGCCGAGGACUCUAGUGAGACUGCCUUCGUAAGGAGGAGGAAGGUGAGGACGACGUCGAGUCAUCAUGGCCCUUACGGCUAGGGCAACACACGUGCUACAAUGGCCAGGACAAUGAGAAGCGAUACCGCGAGGUGGAGCAAAUCUAUAAACCUGGUCUCAGUUCGGAUUGUAGUCUGCAACUCGACUACAUGAAGCUGGAAUCACUAGUAAUCGUAGAUCAGCUAUGCUACGGUGAAUACGUUCCCGGGUCUUGUACUCACCGCCCGUCACACCAUGGGAGUUGAUUUCACCCGAAGCGGGGAAGCUAAACUGGCUACCCUCCACGGUGGAAUCAGCGACUGGGGUGAAGUCGUAGCAAGGUAACCGUAGGAGAACCUGCGGUUG